AUGAGGGUGAUCUGUCUGCCAGGGUUGAUUCGGCUGAUCUGACUGGCUAAGUGAUGUCCCCUUCCUCCCUCACUGCUCCAUGUGCGUCCCUCCUGAAGCUGCAUGCCUGGUCAAAGAGGACGACCUUCCCUGAAUAGAGGAGGACCAGUUUUCAGUCAGGGGUAUAGGAGUAGCUAUGCUCCCAUGCUAGAACCUCCAGACAAACUCUCAAAGAACACAGAAUUCGAAAUGCUUUCCGUGGCUUUCUUCGACUAGUCUAGUAUGUUCUUGCUGUUUUGUC
RNAcentral lists this small nuclear RNA (280 nucleotides) under Rattus norvegicus (Norway rat). RNAcentral's name for it is "7SK RNA". It matches the Rfam family "7SK RNA". From Rfam's summary of the family: 7SK was discovered as an abundant small nuclear RNA in the mid-70s but a possible function has only recently been suggested. Lineage: Eukaryota; Metazoa; Chordata; Mammalia; Rodentia; Muridae. The record is from Rfam by way of RNAcentral.